CCUAUGGGGGGCAGCAGUGAGGAAUAUUGGUCAAUGGGCGGGAGCCUGAACCAGCCAAGUCGCGUGAGGGAAGACGGUCCUAUGGAUUGUAAACCUCUGUCUUUGGGGAAGAAGAUGACGGUACCCAAAGAGGAAGCUCCGGCUAACUACGUGCCAGCAGCCGCGGUAAUACGUAGGGAGCGAGCGUUGUCCGGAAUUACUGGGUGUAAAGGGAGCGUAGGCGGGGAUGUAAGUUGGAUGUUUAAACUAUCGGCUCAACCGGUAAUUGCAACCAAAACUGCAACUCUUGAGUGAAGUAGAGGCAGGCGGAAUUUCUAGUGUAGCGGUGAAAUGCGUAGAUAUUAGGAGGAACACCAGUGGCGAAGGCGGCCUGCUGGGCUUUAACUGACGCUGAGGCUCGAAAGCGUGGGGAGCAAACAGGAUUAGAUACCCUAGUAGUC
This 440-nucleotide ribosomal RNA is filed under the name uncultured bacterium. RNAcentral describes it as "partial 16S ribosomal RNA". It matches the Rfam family "Bacterial small subunit ribosomal RNA", at positions 338 to 795 of the family's 1533-position model. The record is from RNAcentral.